GUCUGUGGCCACACCACCCUGAACACACCCGAUCUCAUCUGAUCUCACAAGCUAAGUAGGGUUGGGCCUAGUUAGUACUUGGAUGGGAGACCACCUGGCAAUAACAGGUGCUGUAGGCU
RNAcentral lists this ribosomal RNA (119 nucleotides) under Vombatus ursinus (common wombat). Lineage: Eukaryota; Metazoa; Chordata; Mammalia; Diprotodontia; Vombatidae. The record is from RNAcentral.